GAAUUAAUCACUUACCUUUCUGAUUGCUGUACUCUGUAUAGUCGUUGAUCUGAAAGAUUUAUCAUCAUGCGUUUUUUGAUGACCGCUCUUCUCUUGGUUGCUGUAGUUAUGAUUGUUGCUGAAGCGGGUCGUGGCGGUCGUCGUCAUAGACGUCGUUAUAGAUAUAACAGACCAUCGUUGAGAAACGUCAGUUGUCAAGAUGUAAAGAAUGCAGGUGUUUGUGACAGGUGCUGUGAUCCGUGUAGGAGUAUAGAGUGUUGUGCGCCUCUAACGUGUGACAGGGGAGUGUGUAAAUGUAAUGGCAACGUCUGUGGGGAUGAUCAAACCUGCACUGGAACUUGUGAUACUGCAAGUUGUACAGACAAUUGAUAAUGAACAAACUAGAUCAGAAUAACAGUCUUUACGACCAACAUCAGCUUCUGAAGUCGAACUGGAUUCACAUUUUACUUUACAGUAUUAUCUUAAAAUAAUAUGAUACAUAAUGAAUGAAACUGACACAUUAUUUUAAUGUUUAUCUGUUAUUCCAUGCCGUUGACAAGAAGAUAUGGUUAUUUUUACAUAAUUGA
Long non-coding RNA from Patella vulgata (common limpet), 566 nucleotides. RefSeq lists it as uncharacterized. The record is from RefSeq and is a predicted model, not a curated record. The transcript has 3 exons. NCBI's taxonomy places the organism in Eukaryota, Metazoa, Mollusca, Gastropoda, Patellidae.